GCCAGCGUGGUGUAGUGGUCUGAGCGUUGGACGAGGACUCUGGAGACCAAGGUUCGAAUCCCAGCAUGGGCA
Non-coding RNA from Phrynosoma platyrhinos (Desert horned lizard), 72 nucleotides. The record is from the annotation of a GenBank genome assembly. Lineage: Eukaryota; Metazoa; Chordata; Lepidosauria; Squamata; Phrynosomatidae.